RNAcentral lists this long non-coding RNA (743 nucleotides) under Musa acuminata (dwarf banana). RNAcentral's name for it is "long non-coding RNA (MACU_LNC002664)". Lineage: Eukaryota; Viridiplantae; Streptophyta; Magnoliopsida; Zingiberales; Musaceae. The record is from RNAcentral.
UACGAUUGUCAUAGAUAGUCGAGGACAUUGAAGUAGAUAAGGACACUUAUGGUUGUAUCAUGAGAGGCACCCAACCCAUGCACACAUGAGAUUGCUGAGUAUAAGAAGCACAGGUUGCUUUAUUCCUUCGCUAGCAAUUGAUCAUCGUUGGUUGAAGCUUGACUUUAAGUGAAGCCCUAUUGGAGAACUAGCAUAUGACCUGAAUCUCACACCCAAGUUGGAUGUAUUAUGAAAAAAGUUCAAUGCAAGUGAUACACAGAUGGCAAGAUGAUAGUAAAACGAAAGCUAAGAUGGCAAGAUGAUUGUAAAAAGAAAGCUAAGUGAUGCGGCGGGGUAUCUGUUUAAGCCGUGGCCUCGGGGCCGACGCGGCUCGGUUCGGGGGUCCGGAUGUCGGGGAUCUCGGGCGGCGUCCCUCGAGGUCUCCCGGCGGCCGAGCGCGGUAGUUCGAUCGGCAGGUCGGGUCGGCAGGUCAGGUCGACAGGUCGGGUCGGGAGAAAGCUCCGCCGCAGCGCCGGGAAGAGUGGUUCGGGUCGAGAGUUCGGGUCGGCAGGUCGGGUCGGCGGGUCGGGUCGGGAGAAAGCUCCACCGCAGCACCAGGUAGAGUCGACCCCAUAUGGCACCUGCACAAAGGUCGGGCCGAGGCGCUCGGCCCGACCCCUCCGACGGCCAAGUUAGUGAUGUGGAGAUGGUUUUGGAGGAAGAGAUGCCUCCAUACAAGUGUUGUGUUUGAGUUCGUCCUCUCC